UGGGGAAUUUUGGACAAUGGGCGCAAGCCUGAUCCAGCAAUGCCGCGUGCAGGAUGAAGGCCUUCGGGUUGUAAACUGCUUUUGUACGGAGCGAAAAGGUCUGCCCUAAUACGGUGGGCUCAUGACGGUACCGUAAGAAUAAGCACCGGCUAACUACGUGCCAGCAGCCGCGGUAAUACGUAGGGUGCAAGCGUUAAUCGGAAUUACUGGGCGUAAAGCGUGCGCAGGUGGUUAUGCAAGACAGAGGUGAAAUCCCCGGGCUCAACCUGGGAACUGCCUUUGUGACUGCAUAGCUAGAGUACGGUAGAGGGGGAUGGAAUUCCGCGUGUAGCAGUGAAAUGCGUAGAUAUGCGGAGGAGCACCGAUGGCGAAGGCGAUCCCCUGGACCUGGACUGACGCUCAUGCACGAAAGCGUGGGGAGAGAACA
RNAcentral lists this ribosomal RNA (427 nucleotides) under uncultured bacterium. RNAcentral describes it as "bacterial SSU rRNA". It matches the Rfam family "Bacterial small subunit ribosomal RNA", at positions 355 to 774 of the family's 1533-position model. The record is from RNAcentral.